Spinacia oleracea (spinach) is the source of this 1997-nucleotide long non-coding RNA. RefSeq lists it as uncharacterized. The record is from RefSeq and is a predicted model, not a curated record. NCBI's taxonomy places the organism in Eukaryota, Viridiplantae, Streptophyta, Magnoliopsida, Caryophyllales, Amaranthaceae. The transcript has 5 exons.
UAUCUUUUUGCUUCUUUUCAUUUUCAAGCCUUAAAACAUUUGAACGUGGAGCAAAUACUAUUUUAUUGGGUUUAUUUCCUAAUUUUCUGGGUUUAUGAUUUAUACAUAGUGUAUGAUAUGUUCUUAAUGCUGAUUUCACUGAAGAGAUUGAGGGCCUUUUGUUGUCCGACUCAUCUUUUAUAAUAGAUGUGCCUAAGUUGUGUUCAUUCGUAUAUAACAUUCAUAAUCUAUCAUACAACUUGUACCCAAGUUGAUUGCCAUCUUACUUUGGUACCAUAUUAAUACCAAGAUCUUUUUAUUUCUUACAUGACAAGGACAUUGAAAAGUUAAAGCUCUCAUAAAUGUCCUGUAGAGAAGGGAUCAUUGAAGUAGCUAAAUGCUGUAUUUUACAAGAGUGAGACUAGGAACUACCCCAAGGGAAUACAAUGUGCAGAUUAUGGGUUCCAUUUAUUGACUGUCCACGGGCGAGUGGGUUUCAUUUAUGUUUCUACUCAAUAUCGCGCUUUAUUGUGUGAUUAUUUGAAUGAUGGUUAUUAGUUUCUGCUGACUGAUAUUAGGUCGAGCUCAAUUUCUAUGAUAUCAAUGGCUCCUCAACUGCCAACGCAGUUUCUUGUUCAGACCCAGUAUGUAGUACUAUGGUUCCACCAGCAUCGUCUCACUGCUCAGCUGAAAGUAAACAUUGCGGUUACUCGUUUCAAUAUGGUGAUGGAAGUGGGACCUCAGGGUUUUAUGUGUCUACUAUGAUGUACUUUUAUAUGAUCUAGGGAGCUCUAUGAACGCUAAUUCACCUGCGUCUAUCGUUUUCAGGUGAGGGGUAUUUUUCUGUUCUAAUUUGUUUACAAUGGUAAUCUAUCUUGCUAACUUUUUUGUAAAGGAUAAAUAUGUAUACGAAACUGGUACAUUGCAAAAUAAAUAGUCUACCCUUUAGCAAAUUCAGUUUAUAUCUGAACUUACUUUGAAGGAGAAAUUUUUCCUAUCUAUGCUUUUUCUGAAUGUUAAUGUCUACUCUCCUUGGUUUUCUGUCUUUUACAUUUUUCUUUGUGCUUGUAUGUUUUGAUUUUAAAUCUAUGGUUCUGGUGCAGAUGCAACAAUUAUCAAUCUGGAGAUUUGAUCAAUUCAGAACGUGCUCUUGAUGGGAUCUUUGGUUUUGGUCAGCAGGGCUUGUCCUUUGUAUCUCAAUUUUCUUCCAGGGUAAUAACACCUCAACCAUUUUCCCAUUUUUGAAAGGAGGAGGAAAUGGUGGGGUUAUUCUGGUGCUUGUAAGAUUUUGGGCCCAAGUAUUGCGUAUGGUCCACUUGUGCCAUCAUAGGAGGAGAGGAUGCUGCCAUUGUCAGAUACAUGUACACAAGGAUGACUGAAAUCACUAGAGAACUACUAGGAAAGAUACUGGAAUCACUUCACAGUUAGUGGAACUAUUGAGGUAGUGGAUGUAGACAGUGCAAGUGAUGCAAGUGAUGCAAGUGAAGGGACGAUGUAACUCUCAGAAUCACUGAACUACCAGUUCGGAAGUGGACUCAAGAUUAUAAGGAAUUUUAAAGAGAGACAGAGAUCAAAUGAUGUAGCAAAAUUAAAUGAUGCGGCGAAUAUUCGGUGCUAAGGAGUUCUUUGAGAUUUUUCAAAGAUGCUUCUGAUCAGGCCAUGAAGCUUGAAACAUAAUUCCACAAAAGAUCGUGGCUCCCUUGUGGAAAGAGCUUAAUCCUGAAGAUUGGCAUCUCGUGCUAUUUUCAGAUUUUGACUUGACUUGCGCAGUUGUUGAUUCGUCUGCAAUAUUAGCUGAAAUUGCAAUUGCAACAGCAACAGCUCUACAAAGCCUUAUAUAUCAGAGUCGUAUGUUGCCACAAAGUUAGCCGAGGAACUAUCAUGACUGUUAUUUCUCCUUUCUCCUAUUAGGCCGGUCUUUUUUAAUUUUUCUAAACUUAGCCAUGUAAAUUUUUUAUGCUUAGCCAUGAAUUCUAUAUAUGUAAACUACAUCAAGUAAUUAGUCAUGUUUAUUAUCA